RNAcentral lists this ribosomal RNA (253 nucleotides) under uncultured bacterium. RNAcentral's name for it is "partial 16S ribosomal RNA". It matches the Rfam family "Bacterial small subunit ribosomal RNA", at positions 524 to 776 of the family's 1533-position model. The record is from RNAcentral.
UACGAAGGGUGCAAACGUUGCUCGGAAUCAUUGGGCGUAAAGCGCACGUAGGCGGCUUUGUAAGUUAGAGGUGAAAGCCCGGGGCUCAACCCCGGAAUUGCCUUUAAGACUGCAUCGCUAGAAUUGUGGAGAGGUGAGUGGAAUUCCGAGUGUAGAGGUGAAAUUCGUAGAUAUUCGGAAGAACACCAGUGGCGAAGGCGACUCACUGGACACAUAUUGACGCUGAGGUGCGAAAGCGUGGGGAGCAAACAGG